AUCUGCAGAUCCACAAGCCGGGAGAGCUGCGGCCAGUCGCACCAAUCCCACGUUAAACUCCGAUAGACGGCGGCGGCUCCGCAGUCGUCCGCAUGGUCGAUCUGGAUCGGACCUUUCCGUCUCUUAACUUAGCAAGUCUGGUUUCAGUGGGGAAAGGAAAACUAAAAAAAAAAAAAAACACUCGCACCUCCCCCAGGCUCCCUCCCUCUCCUUCCCACCCCCACAGCCAGGACCCGCAGCCGUGGCCUUCGCUUCCAGUGCGCCGCCGCGACCACCCCGGGGCCGGACAGAGGGGUGGAGGCUGGAUGCGGUGAGGCGACAAUAAAUACCCAGAAGGCAGCUGCCUAAGCAGGCGAACCGGCCGUCGAAGCCCAAACCCGACGGGAACAAUGAGUCCGGCCGUUCAGACGAAACUUCAGCGGUCCUCUAGCUUCGCUCUGCUGCCCACUAACCUCCGACCGACGGCCAGUUCAUCCAGUUCUGAACGCGGCGCUGGGUGCCGCCGGCAACGCGGCUUCCGCACACGAGACGGGAGCCGGAUCUUGGUGAAAAGCAAUGUGAAAAACAUGGCCACCAAGUUCUGAGGACACAUUCUGGACAAUGUACGAUGUCUGCGCUUGCUGGUGAUCAAAAGUGCAUCAUUCAAAAGAAGAUGCAGUAGAAACUGGGAAGACUGACAGGCAACAUCAGCCUGAGAAAGCCACCGCAUGCUGGGAUCUUUGCCGAGGAGAGGGGAGCAACCCUAACAUCUUAGCUGCCUCUACAGGGUCUGCAGGAAGACAUGAUGUCACCUGAUGUGAUGCUGAACAGCCAUAUUUACACUGAAGGUGCCAUUCCUCUAUUAAACAUCUUUUAGCAUCUUU
Molecule: long non-coding RNA, 863 nt
Organism: Brienomyrus brachyistius
Lineage: Eukaryota; Metazoa; Chordata; Actinopteri; Osteoglossiformes; Mormyridae
Exons: 3
Source: RefSeq, a predicted model, not a curated record